Molecule: ribosomal RNA, 429 nt
Filed under: Acidobacteriota bacterium
Lineage: Bacteria; Pseudomonadati; Acidobacteriota
Description: Acidobacteria bacterium partial 16S ribosomal RNA
Rfam family: Bacterial small subunit ribosomal RNA
Source: RNAcentral
UGGGGAAUUUUGGACAAUGGGGGAAACCCUGAUCCAGCCAUCCCGCGUGUGCGAUGAAGGCCUUCGGGUUGUAAAGCACUUUUGGCAGGAAAGAAACGUCAUGGGUUAAUACCCCGUGAAACUGACGGUACCUGCAGAAUAAGCACCGGCUAACUACGUGCCAGCAGCCGCGGUAAUACGUAGGGUGCAAGCGUUAAUCGGAAUUACUGGGCGUAAAGCGUGCGCAGGCGGUUCGGAAAGAAAGAUGUGAAAUCCCAGAGCUCAACUUUGGAACUGCAUUUUUAACUACCGGGCUAGAGUGUGUCAGAGGGAGGUGGAAUUCCGCGUGUAGCAGUGAAAUGCGUAGAUAUGUGGAGGAACACCGAUGGCGAAGGCAGCCUCCUGGGAUAACACUGACGCCCAUGCACGAAAGCGUGGGGAGCAAACAGG